UGGCUCUCGCAUCGAUGAAGAACGCAGCGAAAUGCGAUAAGUAAUGUGAAUUGCAGAAUUCAGUGAAUCAUCGAAUCUUUGAACGCAAAUUGCGCCCUUUGGUAUUCCGAAGGGCAUGCCUGUUUGAGUGUCAUAUAGACCUUCACCCGGACGGUUUUCUAAACUGUCUGUCGGUGGUUUGGACGUCUGCCAGCAGCUUGGGUCUCUGGCUCGUCUUAAAUGCCUCAGUGGAAGAUACAGCGUGAUAAGUCUACGCUUACAAUGUCUUCACACUCUAAUCUUAUCUUAAGAUCUGGCCUCAAAUCAGGUAGGACUACCCGCUGA
This 324-nucleotide unclassified non-coding RNA is filed under the name uncultured fungus. RNAcentral's name for it is "partial contains 5.8S ribosomal RNA and internal transcribed spacer 2". The stretch from base 1 to 133 matches the Rfam family "5.8S ribosomal RNA", at positions 22 to 154 of the family's 154-position model. Lineage: Eukaryota; Fungi. The record is from RNAcentral.